RNAcentral lists this ribosomal RNA (416 nucleotides) under Staphylococcus epidermidis. RNAcentral's name for it is "bacterial SSU rRNA". It matches the Rfam family "Bacterial small subunit ribosomal RNA", at positions 377 to 786 of the family's 1533-position model. Lineage: Bacteria; Bacillati; Bacillota; Bacilli; Caryophanales; Staphylococcaceae. The record is from RNAcentral.
GCAGAGCUGACGGAGCACGCCGCGUGAGUGAUGAAGGUCUUCGGAUCGUAAAACUCUGUUAUUAGGGAAGAACAAAUGUGUAAGUAACUAUGCACGUCUUGACGGUACCUAAUCAGAAAGCCACGGCUAACUACGUGCCAGCAGCCGCGGUAAUACGUAGGUGGCAAGCGUUAUCCGGAAUUAUUGGGCGUAAAGCGCGCGUAGGCGGUUUUUUAAGUCUGAUGUGAAAGCCCACGGCUCAACCGUGGAGGGUCAUUGGAAACUGGAAAACUUGAGUGCAGAAGAGGAAAGUGGAAUUCCAUGUGUAGCGGUGAAAUGCGCAGAGAUAUGGAGGAACACCAGUGGCGAAGGCGACUUUCUGGUCUGUAACUGACGCUGAUGUGCGAAAGCGUGGGGAUCAAACAGGAUUAGAUACC